RNAcentral lists this ribosomal RNA (387 nucleotides) under uncultured bacterium. RNAcentral describes it as "bacterial SSU rRNA". It matches the Rfam family "Bacterial small subunit ribosomal RNA", at positions 28 to 416 of the family's 1533-position model. The record is from RNAcentral.
GACGAACGCUGGCGGCGUGCCUAACACAUGCAAGUCGAACGGGACCGGGGGCAACUUCGGUUCAGUGGCGGACGGGUGCGUAACACGUGAGGAACAUGACCUUCGGCGGGGGAUAGCCGGCCCAACGGCCGGGUAAUACCGCGUACGACCUUUCGGGGACAUCCCUGGAUGGUGAAAGCAGCAAUGCGCCGAUGGAGUGCCUCGCGGCCUAUCAGCUAGUUGGUGGGGUAACGGCUCACCAAGGCAACGACGGGUAGCUGGUCUGAGAGGAUGGCCAGCCACAUUGGGACUGAGACACGGCCCAGACUCCUACGGGAGGCAGCAGUGGGGAAUAUUGCGCAAUGGACGAAAGUCUGACGCAGCGACGCCGCGUGUGGGAUGACGGUC